Molecule: long non-coding RNA, 1209 nt
Filed under: Vulpes vulpes (red fox)
Lineage: Eukaryota; Metazoa; Chordata; Mammalia; Carnivora; Canidae
Description: lncRNA (ENSVVUG00000006760.1)
Source: RNAcentral
AUUUAUUGAAAACUUAAGUCAGACUGGCUAAGAGCUUCACUUGCAUUACCUCAGUUAAUCCCCUCAAGAUCCGGAAGUGAGGAGGUAUGGGAAGCUAAGUAGCCCUACUCUAUAGAUAGGCCAACUGAGGCAACUAAGGGUUUCCUUAGGUUAGGGAGGUGGACACUGCAAAGUCUUGACGGGGGCAUUCUGCCUUCUGUGCAGGGAUUUCACUCUGGUAGUUUCUGGAGGAAGACCUGAAUGGAAGAGGGCUCACAUUUUAUGCUGUCCAAGAGGGGAAACCUAAGACCCCCAAAGAAGUCUGAGGCCCCCAAACUCAAUGCCAGUUGAGACAAGAGAAAAUACUUCACGUGUAUGAAAACAUACAUCACACUGUCCUGAGGCCUCAAGGGUUUUGAUUGGCUAAAAAGGAAGACAUUUGAAAAACUAGAGUUGCUACUGAGGAGCCUGUCUUCAGGAACAGUUGCUCAAAGUUUAUAGGAAAUGGAAGACAGCACAGAGAAAUUCAGAAGGUUAAAUAACUCUUAAUUACUAUCCCCCUAGGUGAUCACAAGGCGAAGCACUUAUGGAACCCUUUUCUGUGAUAGAAUACUUAAACAGACUUAGCAGCUCACUCCUACCACUUUCAUGAUGCUCAAGGAUGCUAAACUUUCCAUUAAAAUGUCACAAAACAAGAAAUUCCAUUCCCACCCCACCCCAAUACAUAAAUUGGGGAAUAGAGAAUUCAGGUUCUGAUGACCUCACCACCAGCGGUUGCCUGGGAUGGGGGUGGGGAAUCCAUGGAUAAAACCUCUGAGAGUUUUUUGAACAACGUAUGCCAAGGACAAUCUGGUAGGGUCUGUGGUGAUGAGCAAGGAGAGCCGCUCAAGUGCUGGGAACAGCUCCGGCUGUCUGGUGCCUGUGAAGUUUGAGUCCUGGGAUGAGUAAUGUGACGUGGGCACAAGAUCUCCUUACCCUUUGGAACUUGCAAAUUUCACCAGGAAAGCUCUCUGUAUGGUACAUUGGUUGAAGAAGAUGACUUCCUGGAGAGAGGAACAUGGCUCUUUGGUAAGAUCUCUUCAUGUGGUGGGAAAGCUGCUGUCUCCUGAGAGCUCCAUAUUCAUUCUUACUCUUUAUGAAUCAGAAGGUAGUGAAACUCAGAGAGACUCUGAUCAACACUGCCUGGACCCUGUGGCCUCCUCAGUGGGGAAGGGAGAUGCAGACAAAUAG